The sequence is a transfer RNA, 87 nucleotides long. It matches the Rfam family "tRNA". Rfam says of the family: Transfer RNA (tRNA) molecules are approximately 80 nucleotides in length.
CUCUCGGUAGCCAAGUUGGUUUAAGGCGCAAGACUGUAAUGGUAACAAGACAUCUUGAGAUCGGGCGUUCGACUCGCCCCCGGGAGA